This 373-nucleotide long non-coding RNA is filed under the name Panax ginseng (ginseng). RNAcentral's name for it is "long non-coding RNA (PGIN_LNC006615)". Lineage: Eukaryota; Viridiplantae; Streptophyta; Magnoliopsida; Apiales; Araliaceae. The record is from RNAcentral.
AUCAACAAAAAAUAAUUCAUAUCAAUUUAGUUGAAGUUAUUUAUCUCACCCCAUUUGCCAAAUAAAAAAAAGAAUAAGUGCAAAGAUAAAGAAUAUCAUUGGAGCAAGUUUAUAACAAAACCACAUAUAACAAGUAAACAAAAUGAUCAUACCUUUGCGAUUUGUUAACUAUAUAUAUAUAUAUAUCAACAUUAUGUUACCAAUAAUAACUUGAUAGUUGAGCUCCUUAGUGUAGUCUCUCAAAGUAAAGUAUCAUUCGUCUCCAUUUUGACCUUGAGAUAUCUACAAAAUAGACAAAUCUUCUCUACCUUUUUGGUACCCAAAUUUUCUUGGGUCCAUUUGGGUUAGUAGCAUAUAAAUCACAUUUCUUUAC